UGACAAUGUCACAGAACGCCAAAGG
RNAcentral lists this non-coding RNA (25 nucleotides) under Mus musculus (house mouse). Lineage: Eukaryota; Metazoa; Chordata; Mammalia; Rodentia; Muridae. The record is from RNAcentral.